CUUAUGUCUAAUUCAAGCUUCGCCAUUAAAUGCAUCAUCGUUAUGACAACAAUUUGACGAAAACAACGCACAAUAGAUGCACUUCGCUAGAAUUUAAUUAGAGUUUUAUUGAGACGAAAUACUUCCGUAAACACUCCAGGUAUGAAAGUUAUUACAUAAUUUUCGAACAAAACCAUUCAGGACAUGGUGAAUUCGCUUCUACUUCUGCCAUUUUGAUGAUUUUCCGCAUUUCGUAGCUAUAAAUAAUUAGUUACGCACUUGUUUUAAAUGUCGUAUUUAAGAAUUUUUAACAUUUACUUAUUGCAGUUAAUGUUCAUAUUUUAGAUGAGAUACUAUAUAUUCAACAAAAUGAAAAACUUUGUGGAAAUCUAUUUAUCAAAAUGGUUUAAACUCCUUGGGAAAGUAAUUAGUCGGCAUCCGAAUUUUUUUAUAGUUAUACCUUUGAUAAUUUCGAUAGUUCUCUCAACAGGAUAUUUGAGGAUAAAGAAAAUAACCGACACUGAAUAUCUUUU
Molecule: long non-coding RNA, 512 nt
Filed under: Androctonus crassicauda
Lineage: Eukaryota; Metazoa; Arthropoda; Arachnida; Scorpiones; Buthidae
Source: RNAcentral